This 327-nucleotide long non-coding RNA is filed under the name Lathyrus oleraceus (garden pea). RNAcentral describes it as "Pisum sativum (pea) long non-coding RNA (PSAT_LNC003621)". The record is from RNAcentral. Lineage: Eukaryota; Viridiplantae; Streptophyta; Magnoliopsida; Fabales; Fabaceae.
CUUCCUCUUUUCAAACUUCACAUGUGUGUUCUCUUUAAGCUAUUUCACCUUCAUCUUCGAAACUUUUGUGUUCUACAUGUAAAAUAAUUUUGUCUUCUUUAUGUUUUUUUUUUUCGUCAUCGUCUUCAAAACGUUUUCCCAAUUUUCUUUUGUUCUGAAUCUGUUAUAUCUUUAUUUCUACCUUUGUAUGUGUAUUGAAAAUUUGAUGAAGAUUCAUGCAUUCAUCUUUGAAGUUGGAGGUUGAUUUACAUUAUAUAUUUUUAUUUUUUAUAGUCGGAGAUUGAAAUGAUCCGAAGACGUUUGAGGAAUGAGCAUUCAUGAAACUAG